GGACAGGUGGCAGAGUGGUCGAAUGCGGCGGUCUCGAAAACCGUUAUACCCGCGAGGGUAUCGGGGGUUCGAAUCCCUCCCUGUCCG
RNAcentral lists this transfer RNA (87 nucleotides) under Abditibacteriaceae bacterium. Its description in RNAcentral is "Abitibacteriaceae bacterium (rhizosphere metagenome) tRNA-Ser". It matches the Rfam family "tRNA". From Rfam's summary of the family: Transfer RNA (tRNA) molecules are approximately 80 nucleotides in length. Their secondary structure includes four short double-helical elements and three loops (D, anti-codon, and T loops). Lineage: Bacteria; Pseudomonadati; Abditibacteriota; Abditibacteriia; Abditibacteriales; Abditibacteriaceae. The record is from RNAcentral.